CGCCUCCCAUAAAUGGGAGGCAUGCCUGUCUGAGCGUCAUUUAAAACCAUAACCUUUGGGUUGUAUUGGGACUCGCCCCAUGGCGUCUCCUCAAAGUCAUCGUGUCUAAAAGCGUACGAGCUCCACUAGGAUGGAACGUUUGAGGACCUUAAACUCUCUGACUUGACCUCAGAUCAGGUAGGACUACCGCCUGAACUUAA
Molecule: unclassified non-coding RNA, 200 nt
Filed under: soil metagenome
Description: partial contains 5.8S ribosomal RNA, internal transcribed spacer 2, and large subunit ribosomal RNA
Source: RNAcentral